Long non-coding RNA from Lolium rigidum, 698 nucleotides. RefSeq lists it as uncharacterized. Lineage: Eukaryota; Viridiplantae; Streptophyta; Magnoliopsida; Poales; Poaceae. The record is from RefSeq and is a predicted model, not a curated record. The transcript has 3 exons.
CACGGAUGCCCACCCAAGUACCUGGCCGAGCUACUCAAAUUGAUCAAGAAGGUUUGCCAUCGUCCAUAUCGACCCUAACUGGAAAUUAGAAGGAAUGGAUGAUCAAACACAUAGUGUUCAAGAAUCGAGUGAGGGUCUAUUUCAAGCGAUGAUGAUGGUAUCGAGCAACAGAAGAAAAGCAGUGUGGAACUUGAAGAGAACCAGGGUGCAACUCAAGCAGAUGUGCUACUUGAAGAUCCUGAAUUGGGGAUGACAUUUGAUACUGAGGAUGAUGUACGAGAGUACUACAAGAGGUACGUUUCUCAUCUCUCUGUUUUUAAUGAAUACUUCGAGAUCCAAGUCAUGUUAUGAUUCUUUUAUCACAGGGACUAUUUAGCAUGGGCACUAGUAGUGACAACAUAAAUCCAACCAUGAAAGCUACUGUUCCAUAUAGGUAUCAUUAUUUCCAUCUCUUUAUUUCUAAUAAGUACUUGUAACACAUGAUGAAGAGACUCCUCCGGUUAAUAGGUGCAGGCUUUCCAUUCUAUCUAUUACUUCUAAUGCCAAGAGUGCUACCUCAAAACUGAAUCCAUUGACUGCUACUUGGGUCAAACCAAUGCCUAGAUGGACGAAGCGGCUACCAGAUUUCUCCCACAUGUUGGAUCAGCUUCGAUGGCAGAAGCCCUGGCGUUGAAGGAGGGACUGGUUUUGGCUAACAG